RNAcentral lists this RNase P RNA (375 nucleotides) under Fidelibacterota bacterium. RNAcentral describes it as "RNase P RNA component class A". It matches the Rfam family "Bacterial RNase P class A". From Rfam's summary of the family: Ribonuclease P (RNase P) is a ubiquitous endoribonuclease, found in archaea, bacteria and eukarya as well as chloroplasts and mitochondria. Its best characterised activity is the generation of mature 5'-ends of tRNAs by cleaving the 5'-leader elements of precursor-tRNAs. Lineage: Bacteria; Pseudomonadati; Fidelibacterota. The record is from RNAcentral.
UGAGUCGGUCGGAUGGUUGCUCUAGGCUUGUUUAUUCAACCCUAGAGAGGAAAGUCCGGGCACCGCAGAACAGGAUGCUCCCUAACAGGGUGAGGUCUGCUUUGGCAGACAAUGGAAAGUGCAACAGAAAGUAAACCGCCUUCGGGUAAGGGUGAAAAAGUGGUGUAAGAGACCACUACUCUUUGAAGAGAUUCAGAGUAUCUGUAAACCCCAUCCGGUGCAAGAUCGAAUAGGCCCUGAGAUGUUGUUCGCAUUGAUCAAAGAGCGGGUAGAUUGCUUGAGAUUCAUGGCAACAUGAAUACUAGAUGAAUGACCAUCAUAGAAACGGUCUUGAUCGUUCCUAUACAAAACUCGGCUUAUAGACCGACUCAAUUC